AAAGUACCACAAACAAUGGGUUUGAACAUCUCUAGGAAAGAAGACAACCCAGAACAAUCGUCCUCAUACACAUCCAUUGAAUUUAUUUAAGGUGGUAUUUGAUGCCUAAUAUACAUGUUUUUAUUUAGUAGUUUGCUUCAAGCAAUUAAUUGUUACAGGUUUGUCUCUGCCCCUACUCUGAAGCUGCUCAUACUUAGACAACAGAGUCCUAUCUGCUCGAUUUCUGGCAAAGAUUAGGGAAAUACCAGCCACAAGGAACAAGAUAGCUGCAAGUACCCAGCUAAACUGCAAGUUUGCC
This 298-nucleotide long non-coding RNA is filed under the name Capsicum annuum. RNAcentral describes it as "long non-coding RNA (CANN_LNC000293)". The record is from RNAcentral. Lineage: Eukaryota; Viridiplantae; Streptophyta; Magnoliopsida; Solanales; Solanaceae.